CACGUAGGCGGCCUACCAAGUUAGAGGUGAAAUCCCGGAGCUCAACUCCGGAACUGCCUUUAAAACUGGUAAGCUAGAGGAUGUGAGAGGAUAGUGGAAUUCCGAGUGUAGAGGUGAAAUUCGUAGAUAUUCGGAAGAACACCAGUGGCGAAGGCGACUGUCUGGCACAUUUCUGACGCUGAGGUGCGAAAGCGUGGGGAGCAAACA
Molecule: ribosomal RNA, 207 nt
Filed under: uncultured bacterium
Lineage: Bacteria
Description: partial 16S ribosomal RNA
Rfam family: Bacterial small subunit ribosomal RNA
Source: RNAcentral